This 69-nucleotide transfer RNA is filed under the name Ophiocten ludwigi. Its description in RNAcentral is "tRNA-Tyr". Lineage: Eukaryota; Metazoa; Echinodermata; Ophiuroidea; Amphilepidida; Ophiuridae. The record is from RNAcentral.
UAUAAGAUGUCCGAGAAUUAUAGGUGUUGGUUUGUAAAACCAAUCACGGGGCGUUGUCCUCUCUUAUUA